This 288-nucleotide long non-coding RNA is filed under the name Amborella trichopoda. RNAcentral describes it as "long non-coding RNA (ATRI_LNC004377)". Lineage: Eukaryota; Viridiplantae; Streptophyta; Magnoliopsida; Amborellales; Amborellaceae. The record is from RNAcentral.
UUCUGUUGGAGGCGAAGAAGCAUCCAGAAAAAAGGAAAAAGAAAUCCACCUACCAGGAUAAAAUUACAGCAGAGUAGUGGGUUUGGCUAAAGCAUCAGCUUGGAAUUCCUUUCCCCAUUGACAUGUGAAAAAGCUACUUCCCUUUCCCUCCGUAGAAUUUGAAUCUCCUCCAUGACUCCAUUACCAUGCCCAAGGGAUGGUAGAGGGUACUUGUACCAAUUGGUGGAGUCACCUUCCAAUAAUGUUGCUCGAGCUUUGAAACGCAAAAUUUAAGUGCCAUGAGUUCAG